UCAAAAGCAAAUUUUCAUAGGUACUAAAUUAGUCGCAUUCAGUACCCACUAAUAUAAUCUGAAUGCAUCAACCUCACUAGGAUUGCAUCUAUCAGGAAUCACCACUUCUAUGUGCAAUUAUGGUAUAUGACAUUAGCAGGCAACAAAUGAAAUUUGCAGAAGAAUUUAAGUUCAUAUUGCUAGCACUACCAUUAAAUUAUAAGACACAACGAAUGAAGCACAUCUAGAAAACAAAAUGAUUUACAUGCAAUAACUAAUAUGGGAGACAUAUCUAUCACAUGGUAACAAACUCAUGUACAUUGAAUACGUAGCCAAGAACUUUGUACCACAACAAAAACAGGACUUCAGAAAACAGCAUAGUAUUGGAAAUGGACAAAAUCCAACAAGACAAGCAUCUUUACUGCUAAGACAAGAUCAAUUGGCACAGUGAUGAAUCAUAUUAAGUAUUCUUCCAGUAAGUGCAGUAAGAAGCGAGAAGAAGCAAAGUUACAUCUUUGAGGACAGAGUAGUCAUG
This 514-nucleotide unclassified non-coding RNA is filed under the name Hevea brasiliensis (rubber tree). The record is from RNAcentral. Lineage: Eukaryota; Viridiplantae; Streptophyta; Magnoliopsida; Malpighiales; Euphorbiaceae.